AAAAAAUAUAUACAACCUGAGCUUUCUCGGAAAAUCAGUAGUGGACAAACUCCCUCCACUGAUGAGAGAUUACAUCUGGAGGACAAACACGGGCCACCUCCUCUUCAGUCAUGCCCUCGUGCUUCCAAUCCGCCUUUAGCUUCAUCUUAUAUUCUUUCCAUUUGCGGUUGACAGACUUCAGCACCCAAUCAUGGCUAUUUGCAGGAAGGACAAACUUUUUCUACAUCAAAGUCAAAA
Molecule: long non-coding RNA, 237 nt
Filed under: Phoenix dactylifera (date palm)
Lineage: Eukaryota; Viridiplantae; Streptophyta; Magnoliopsida; Arecales; Arecaceae
Description: long non-coding RNA (PDAC_LNC014780)
Source: RNAcentral